GCGAAACCUUUACACUGCACGCCAGUGCGAUAAGGGGAUCCCAAGUGCGCAGGCAUAGAGCCUGCGCUUUUGUACACCGUAGGGAGGUGUACGAAUAAGGGCUGGGCAAGACCGGUGCCAGCCGCCGCGGUAAUACCGGCAGCCCGAGUGAUGGCCGAUCUUAUUGGGCCUAAAGCGUCCGUAGCUGGCCGCGCAAGUCCAUCGGAAAAUCCACCCGCUCAACGGGUGGGCGUCCGGUGGAAACUGCGUGGCUUGGGACCGGAAGGCGCGACGGGUACGUCCGGGGUAGGAGUGAAAUCCCGUAAUCCUGGACGGACCGCCGAUGGCRAAAGCACGUCGCGAGGACGGAUCCGACAGUGAGGGACGAAAGCCAGGGUCUCGAACCGGAUUAGAUACCCGGGUAGUCCUGGCCGUAAACAAUGUCUGUUAGGUGUGGCUCCCACUACGAGUGGGUGCUGUGCCGUAGGGAAGCCGCUAAACAGACCGCCUGGGAAGUACGUCCGCAAGGAUGAAACUUAAAGGAAUUGGCGGGGGAGCACUACAACCGGAGGAGCCUGCGGUUUAAUUGGAAUCA
RNAcentral lists this ribosomal RNA (574 nucleotides) under uncultured haloarchaeon. RNAcentral's name for it is "bacterial SSU rRNA". It matches the Rfam family "Archaeal small subunit ribosomal RNA", at positions 341 to 914 of the family's 1478-position model. Lineage: Archaea; Methanobacteriati; Methanobacteriota; Halobacteria; Halobacteriales; Halobacteriaceae. The record is from RNAcentral.